Molecule: RNase P RNA, 351 nt
Filed under: uncultured Abyssibacter sp.
Lineage: Bacteria; Pseudomonadati; Pseudomonadota; Gammaproteobacteria; Chromatiales; Oceanococcaceae
Description: Bacterial RNase P class A
Rfam family: Bacterial RNase P class A
About the family: Ribonuclease P (RNase P) is a ubiquitous endoribonuclease, found in archaea, bacteria and eukarya as well as chloroplasts and mitochondria. Its best characterised activity is the generation of mature 5'-ends of tRNAs by cleaving the 5'-leader elements of precursor-tRNAs. Cellular RNase Ps are ribonucleoproteins.
Source: RNAcentral
GAGUCGGCCAGGCAAUCGCUGCACGUUUCACGUGUGGAGGAAAGUCCGGGCUCCAUAGGGCAGGGUGCCAGGUAACGCCUGGGCGGCGUGAGCCGACGGCCAGUGCAACAGAAAACAAACCGCCGAUGGCCCACUUCGGUGGUGCACAGGUAAGGGUGAAACGGUGCGGUAAGAGCGCACCGCGCAACCGGCAACGGAAGCGGCACGGUAAACCCCACCCGGAGCAAGGCCAAAUAGGGGAACCAUAGGCGUGGCCCGCGCUGUUCCCGGGUAGGCUGCUUGAGGUCCGUGGCGACGCGGAUCCCAGAUGAAUGAUUGCCCUCGACAGAACCCGGCUUAUCGGCCGACUCC